This 253-nucleotide ribosomal RNA is filed under the name uncultured bacterium. RNAcentral describes it as "partial 16S ribosomal RNA". It matches the Rfam family "Bacterial small subunit ribosomal RNA", at positions 524 to 776 of the family's 1533-position model. The record is from RNAcentral.
UACAGAGGUCCCGAGCGUUGUUCGGAUUCACUGGGCGUAAAGGGUGCGUAGGUGGUGGGGUAAGUCUCGUGUGAAAGCUCGCAGCUCAACUGCGAAAAGUCACGGGAUACUAUUCCGCUGGAGGGUUGGAGGGGGGACUGGAAUACUUGGUGUAGCAGUGAAAUGCGUAGAUAUCUGGAGGAACACCGGUGGCGAAGGCGGCGUUCUGGACUGUAACUGACACUGAUGAACGAAAGCCAGGGGAGCAAACGGG